UACGUAGGGUGCGAGCGUUGUCCGGAAUUAUUGGGCGUAAAGGGCGCGUAGGCGGCUCGGCACGUCCGUUGUGAAAUCGCCCGGCUCAACUGGGCGGGGUCAGCGGAUACGGUCGAGCUUGAGCAAGCUAGGGGGUAAUGGAAUUCCCGGUGUAGUGGUGGAAUGCGUAGAUAUCGGGAGGAACACCAGUGGCGAAGGCGGUUACCUGGGGCUUUGCUGACGCUGAUGCGCGAAAGCGUGGGGAGCAAACAGG
Molecule: ribosomal RNA, 253 nt
Filed under: uncultured bacterium
Lineage: Bacteria
Description: partial 16S ribosomal RNA
Rfam family: Bacterial small subunit ribosomal RNA
Source: RNAcentral